This is a non-coding RNA of Collybiopsis luxurians FD-317 M1, 99 nucleotides long. The record is from the annotation of a GenBank genome assembly. Lineage: Eukaryota; Fungi; Basidiomycota; Agaricomycetes; Agaricales; Omphalotaceae.
UCCCUGGUAGUAUAUCGGUUAGUACACGCGCCUGUCAUUAGAUAGUUCCAUCAUAAGAUUAUCUCGCGCGAAAGCUGGGUUCGAUUCCCAGCCAGGGAG